This is a long non-coding RNA of Penaeus chinensis, 641 nucleotides long. RefSeq lists it as uncharacterized. NCBI's taxonomy places the organism in Eukaryota, Metazoa, Arthropoda, Malacostraca, Decapoda, Penaeidae. The transcript is spliced from 5 exons. The record is from RefSeq and is a predicted model, not a curated record.
UUUUACCACGGCUCAGAGAACACGGCGGAACAAAUUGAUCAUUUCCGGAUAUUCAUUCCCGUUUAUAUAGAUUUCAGGAAGCUAUAGUAGUAUUCUAACAUAUAUGGAGCUAUUUAGAAAAAGAAAAAAAAAAAUCUGGUCACACACACGCGCCCCAAGAGCAGUAACCUUACGUUGGCUGUCACUCCUCCCGAUCCAGGAAUUACUGUCAACAGCACUGUAGUUCAGUGGAGUCAGUGCCGCGAGGAAAAGCAGGAGCCGCAACAGUCGUAUAAUUCUUACUGUGGACGAAGCACGUGUUGCCUUUUAGCUGUGUGGGAAGGGGGACCGUAUGAGAGAUGCGCCUUUUUUUCGUGCUGUCUCUUAUCUGUCUAACGUUGAGGUUCCGGUCGACUCGUCUCAGUCAAGAUCUCGUUCACUUUCGGUGUCCUUCGAAAUUCCCAGAAUCCACAGGACUUCUAAGGAGAAUAGCGCUCGACUGUGCAACGGAAAAGACCUUUCGUAUAUAGAUUAGAGCAACUACGCUGACCUUAUGUGCCCAUACUCUUAUGUACAACAGUGUUUUAUUCUGUUCUCCCAUACUCAUUUGUCAUUAUGUUUAGAAAUGUUUAUAUUUUUCUAAUAAAAUGAUAGUACUAAUC